GCAAGAGUGGCGAAACUGGUAGACGCGCUGGAUUUAGGUUCCAGAGCCCGAAAGGGUGUGUGGGUUCAAGUCCCUCCUCUUGCACCA
This 87-nucleotide transfer RNA is filed under the name Campylobacterota bacterium. Its description in RNAcentral is "Epsilonproteobacteria bacterium tRNA-Leu". It matches the Rfam family "tRNA". From Rfam's summary of the family: Transfer RNA (tRNA) molecules are approximately 80 nucleotides in length. Their secondary structure includes four short double-helical elements and three loops (D, anti-codon, and T loops). Further hydrogen bonds mediate the characteristic L-shaped molecular structure. tRNAs have two regions of fundamental functional importance: the anti-codon, which is responsible for specific mRNA codon recognition, and the 3' end, to which the tRNAs corresponding amino acid is attached (by aminoacyl-tRNA synthetases). tRNAs cope with the degeneracy of the genetic code in two manners: having more than one tRNA (with a specific anti-codon) for a particular amino acid; and 'wobble' base-pairing, i.e. permitting non-standard base-pairing at the 3rd anti-codon position. The record is from RNAcentral. RNAcentral also lists the same sequence under 1 other name. Lineage: Bacteria; Pseudomonadati; Campylobacterota.